Molecule: long non-coding RNA, 1447 nt
Organism: Felis catus (domestic cat)
Lineage: Eukaryota; Metazoa; Chordata; Mammalia; Carnivora; Felidae
Exons: 3
Source: RefSeq, a predicted model, not a curated record
GUUCAUGUAAGUACAUCCUGGAUGGGGCCAGAACUUUGGUUACCCUGACAUUAUCCUGGAAAAUUUACUUGUACAAUCUCUGCCUUCUACCUUCUGGAACCAUCGGGUAACUGGCUUUUGGAGGUCACAAGGAAGACAUCAGGUCGAGCACUGAAGGUGACUUCAACAAGUUACGAACACUGGAAAAAGAAGGCAUUAUUACAAAGAGGAUCUGAAGGCGGUGGUUCAACACUAAAGCGCAAAUCCAAGGGUUGAAGGUUGUCCAGUCCGUGAGUGCCAGGAGUGGGACAGAGAGCUAAGUCUGCUCGCUCUGAACCCACAGCCUCUCCCACCAGACUGGACAGACUGACAUGUGUGUUCUGGCAGUAAGAGAUGGCUUUGACCGCUGUGUGAAGGAGGCAUACAAAAAAUGAGGUUGAUUAGUAUGGGGCGAGGCCUUGAGUGUCAUACCGAGUGUGUAUUAGUGGUCAGAAAAGAACUAUAACAAAUUUAUAGAUUUUAAGACAGAAGGGGCAUGAGUCUCUAUUCUAGUGUAUUAUGCUUUAAAAUAUUUUAAGUCCUGAGAUGGCUCAAAGGGCAUCUUACUUGGAAGUGGGAACAUUUAAGGCAGGUAGGAGCGAAGCUUCUGUGCUUGAGAGGGACAGAGUCCCUGAACCGGCUCCUUUGAACCCCUAGCAUUCCACUCAUCUACCACAGCUGCCUCCUUCUCCAGAUGAGGAAACGGAGGCCCAGAGUGGUGAGAAUGUGAUGACACAUCUUCAGAGAUAAGAGGGAUAAUUUGGAAUGAAACCUGGCUAGCCUGAUUCUGAGACUACGUUCCUUCUACACUAUUAGGGCUAUUAUAGGACUUUUAAAGUUCUGAGGUGGAGAUUGGGGUUAGCCCAUACUGUAGAUUGGGGUUAGUCCAUAUUGCAGAUUGGGGCUAGCCUAUCCUGGAGAUUGGGAUUAGCCCAUACUGUAGAUUGGGAUUAGCCCAUACUGUAGAUUGGGGUUAGCCCAUAUUGCAGACUGGGGUUAGCCUAUCCUGGAGAUUGGGGUUAGCCCAUACUGUAGAUUGCAAACAGUGCCUUGGCAACUGUGUACCUUGUUUAGUAAAAGGAAUAAUAUUAGGAAUGUGUCUUUGGGGAUUUAGAGGAAUUUUAGAGAACCUUAUUUAUAUUCCCCACAGGUCUCUAACAUAUUCCUAUCAAGUGGCAGAUAGCCUCUGCUUAGGUAGUCAUAGCAGAGAGAAGUUUACUACUGGAACAGUGCUUUUAUCAUAUCAUUUAGUGGCAGUGACACUUGUAUAUAGCUGACUGAGACCACUGUUCACUCCUUCAGUGGCAUAGUGUAACGGUUAAGAGCUCGUGUCUCAAAAUGAGAUUAUAUGGAUUCAUAAUCCUCACUCAUUUUAGAUGAGACACUUACUGACUCCAAACAUCAGUUUCCUCAUCCUCAAGAUGGGAUU